GCGGAACUGGCGGAAUUGGCAGACGCGCAUGAUUCAGGUUCAUGUGCCGAAAGGCUUCCGGGUUCAAGUCCCGGGUUCCGCAUCA
Molecule: transfer RNA, 85 nt
Filed under: Chroococcidiopsis thermalis PCC 7203
Lineage: Bacteria; Bacillati; Cyanobacteriota; Cyanophyceae; Chroococcidiopsidales; Chroococcidiopsidaceae
Also listed under: 4 other names
Description: tRNA-Leu
Rfam family: tRNA
About the family: Transfer RNA (tRNA) molecules are approximately 80 nucleotides in length.
Source: RNAcentral